GAGUGGCGGACGGGUGAGUAAUGUCUGGGAAACUGCCCGAUGGAGGGGGAUAACUACUGGAAACGGUAGCUAAUACCGCAUAACGUCGCAAGACCAAAGAGGGGGACCUUCGGGCCUCUUGCUAUCGGAUGUGCCCAGAUGGGAUUAGCUAGUAGGUGGGGUAACGGCUCACCUAGGCGACGAUCCCUAGCUGGUCUGAGAGGAUGACCAGCCACACUGGAACUGAGACACGGUCCAGACUCCUACGGGAGGCAGCAGUGGGGAAUAUUGCACAAUGGGCGCAAGCCUGAUGCAGCCAUGCCGCGUGUAUGAAGAAGGCCUUCGGGUUGUAAAGUACUUUCAGCGGGGAGGAAAGGAGUAAAGUUAAUACCUUUGCUCAUUGACGUUACCCGCAGAAGAAGCACCGGCUAACUCCGUGCCAGCAGCCGCGGUAAUACGGAGGGUGCAAGCGUUAAUCGGAAUUACUGGGCGUAAAGCGCACGCAGGCGGUUUGUUAAGUCAGAUGUGAAAUCCCCGGGCUCAACCUGGGAACUGCAUCUGAUACUGGCAAGCUUGAGUCUCGUAGAGGGGGGUAGAAUUCCAGGUGUAGCGGUGAAAUGCGUAGAGAUCUGGAGGAAUACCGGUGGCGAAGGCGGCCCCCUGGACGAAGACUGACGCUCAGGUGCGAAAGCGUGGGGAGCAAACAGGAUU
This 690-nucleotide ribosomal RNA is filed under the name Shigella flexneri. RNAcentral's name for it is "bacterial SSU rRNA". It matches the Rfam family "Bacterial small subunit ribosomal RNA", at positions 93 to 779 of the family's 1533-position model. Lineage: Bacteria; Pseudomonadati; Pseudomonadota; Gammaproteobacteria; Enterobacterales; Enterobacteriaceae. The record is from RNAcentral.